CGGCGCGGCGGAGAGGCGGACAGCGGCGGAGAGGCGGACAGCGGCGGAGAGGCGGACAGCGGCGGAGAGGCGCACAGCGGCGGAGAGGCGCACAGGGGCGGAGAGGCGCACAGCGGCGGCGAGGCGCACAGCGGCGGCGCAGGCGCGGAGAGGCGCAGGCCCAGGCUCCACUCCCCAGCUGUGAAAGGUGACGGGAACAGUAAGAAUGAGGCUUGGAACGCGGAGUGCAUUGUGGGCCUGUCGUGGGUGGGGCCAGCAGCACAUGCAUGCCUGGCUCACAGAGCAGCCUUUGGGUGUUCUUUUCCUGGAGGAGCUCUACGGUGAUUUUGAAGACUUGGAAACGGGACGUGCACAAGGGAAAAUCGGGCCCCGACACUCAGAAUGAAGAUAUAGAGAAACAAGGAAGAAAUUGACCCUGACGAAGAAGAAAGUGCCAAGAAAAAGCAUUUGGAUAAGAAGAGAAAAUUGAAGGAGAUGUUUGAUGCAGAAUAUGAUGAAGGAGAAAGCACAUAUUUUGAUGAUCUUAAAGGAGAAAUGCAGAAAGAAGCACAGAUGCGUCUGAAGAAACAUCGCUGGUAUAAGAAAAUCCUCAAGUCCCAAGAUCCAAUCAUAUUUUCUGUAGGGUGGAGGAGGUUUCAGACCAUCCUGCUCUAUUAUAUCGAAGACCACAAUGGAAGACAAAGGCUUCUAAAGUAUACGCCACAGCACAUCCAUUGUGGAGCAGCCUUUUGGGGCUGGAGUGCAGUGGCAUGAUCUUGGCUCGCUGCGACCUCUGCCUCCUGGGUUUAAGCGGUUCUCCUGCCUCGGCCUCCCGAGUAGCUGGGAUUACAG
This 831-nucleotide long non-coding RNA is filed under the name Homo sapiens (human). RNAcentral describes it as "PREDICTED lncRNA (TCONS_00265299)". Lineage: Eukaryota; Metazoa; Chordata; Mammalia; Primates; Hominidae. The record is from RNAcentral.